This is a long non-coding RNA of Sapajus apella (tufted capuchin), 612 nucleotides long. RefSeq lists it as uncharacterized. The record is from RefSeq and is a predicted model, not a curated record. The transcript is spliced from 3 exons. NCBI's taxonomy places the organism in Eukaryota, Metazoa, Chordata, Mammalia, Primates, Cebidae.
AUUAGAGUUGGUCAAUUUCGUGCCAGCCACCGUGGCCAUACAAUUGACUCAGGUUAAUAGAAUCCGGCGUAAAGAGUGUGUAAGAUUUUCUUCCCAAUAAAGCUAAUCUAUAAUAAGUUGUAGAAAACCCCAGUUAUAGUAAAAUAUUCUACGAAAGUGGCUUUAACACCCUGAAUACGCUAUAGCUAAGGUACAGACUGGGAUUAGAUACCCCACUGUGCUUAGCCCUAAACCUCAAUAACUUAACCAACAAAAUUAUUCAUUAGAACACUACAAGCAAUAGGUUGAAACUCAAAGGACCUGGCGGUGCUUUAUGUCCUUCUAGAGGCGCCUGUUCUAUAAUCGAUUAACCCUUACAGACCUUACCACAUCUUGCCCUCAGCCUGUAUACCGCCAUCUUCAGCAAACUCCUUAAAGAUCAUAAAGCAACCACAAGUAUUGUCAUAAAAACGUGAGGUCAAGGUGCAGCCAAAGAAGUGGGAAGAAAUGCGCUACAUUUUCUAAAUUAGAAAACUAUACACUAGUCUUUAUGAAAUCUAAAGACCUAAGGUGGAUUUAGCAGUAAAUCAAGAAUAGAGAGCUUGAUUGAAAUAAGGCACAUUAAACACAAAU